GAUGAACGCUGACAGAAUGCUUAACACAUGCAAGUCUACUUGAACUUCGGUUUGGGUGGCGGACGGGUGAGUAACGCGUAAAGAACUUACCUCACAGUUAGGGACAACAUUUGGAAACGAAUGCUAAUACCUGAUAUUAUGAUUUUAGGGCAUCCUACGAUUAUGAAAGCUAUAUGCGCUGUGAGAGAGCUUUGCGUCCCAUUAGCUAGUUGGAGAGGUAACGGCUCACCAAGGCGAGGAUGGGUAGCCGGCCUGGGAGGGUGAACGGCCACAAGGGAACUGAGACACGGCCCUUACUCCUACGGGAGGAAGCGGUGGGAAAUAUUGGACAAUGGACCAAGAGUCUGAUCCAGAAAUUCUGUGUGCAAGAUGACGUUUUUCGGAAUGUAAAGUGCUUUCAGUUGGGAAGAAAAAAAUGACGGUACCAACAGAAGAAGAGACGGCUAAAUACGUG
Molecule: ribosomal RNA, 454 nt
Filed under: uncultured bacterium
Lineage: Bacteria
Description: partial 16S ribosomal RNA
Rfam family: Bacterial small subunit ribosomal RNA
Source: RNAcentral